GAUGAACGCUGGCGGCGUGCCUAAUACAUGCAAGUCGAGCGAACAGAUAAGGAGCUUGCUCCUUUGACGUUAGCGGCGGACGGGUGAGUAACACGUGGGUAACCUACCUAUAAGACUGGGAUAACUUCGGGAAACCGGAGCUAAUACCGGAUAACAUUUGGAACCGCAUGGUUCUAAAGUGAAAGAUGGUCUUGCUAUCACUUAUAGAUGGACCCGCGCCGUAUUAGCUAGUUGGUAAGGUAACGGCUUACCAAGGCGACGAUACGUAGCCGACCUGAGAGGGUGAUCGGCCACACUGGAACUGAGACACGGUCCAGACUCCUACGGGAGGCAGCAGUAGGGAAUCUUCCGCAAUGGGCGAAAGCCUGACGGAGCAACGCCGCGUGAGUGAUGAAGGGUUUCGGCUCGUAAAACUCUGUUAUUAGGGAAGAACAAAUGUGUAAGUAACUGUGCACGUCCUGACGGUACCUAAUCAGAAAGCCACGGCUAACUACGUG
Molecule: ribosomal RNA, 497 nt
Filed under: uncultured bacterium
Lineage: Bacteria
Description: partial 16S ribosomal RNA
Rfam family: Bacterial small subunit ribosomal RNA
Source: RNAcentral